GGAGCUGUGACUCAGCAGUAGAGCAUCUCCUUUGCCUGCAGAAGUUCCCAGGUUCAAUCCCUGGCAUCUCCA
Molecule: transfer RNA, 72 nt
Filed under: Sphaerodactylus townsendi
Lineage: Eukaryota; Metazoa; Chordata; Lepidosauria; Squamata; Sphaerodactylidae
Description: tRNA-Ala
Rfam family: tRNA
About the family: Transfer RNA (tRNA) molecules are approximately 80 nucleotides in length. Their secondary structure includes four short double-helical elements and three loops (D, anti-codon, and T loops).
Source: RNAcentral